This is a long non-coding RNA of Triticum aestivum (bread wheat), 1434 nucleotides long. RefSeq lists it as uncharacterized. The record is from RefSeq and is a predicted model, not a curated record. NCBI's taxonomy places the organism in Eukaryota, Viridiplantae, Streptophyta, Magnoliopsida, Poales, Poaceae. The transcript has 3 exons.
AUAUCCUUGUUUGGAGCCUGGUUCGCCUUUGACUAUUCCCUCGCCUCUAGAAAAAAAAAAUAUCCGUUCUCCUACCCGUGAGCUCGUGGCCUUCCCAAAGCGCUCGUCACUUUCCCCAAUUUGGCCGGACGGCAGCCUCCAAAUCUCCGAUUCGUCGUCGCCUUUGCCUCCGGCCAACACCACCACUUCUCGGCGGCUCGCCCUCUCCGUGUCCAGUUAAUCACUGCUCGUCCCCAACUCGUAGAAGCCACAGCUCGCCUCCCCUCUGCCAUGGACGACAUGGCACACGCGCGACGCCGGCGGUCGAUUUCCCUCGAUGCCUAGGUUGCCGCCUCUAUCUCCACUUCGUCCGUUCUUGCAUAGGCUUUGUACGGCUUUGGUAGUCAGCCCGCCGGAGCCCAAAAUAAGGACAGGGACAUCGGUCUCGCCUGCGUCGUCGUCAAGCGCAAGCUCCUGGUGGAUGCUCUGCUCCGUCCUUGGCGCCUUCGUCCUCAUCGAUGUCUCUACCAUCAUCAGCCUACUCCAUGGCCUGCCAUCAGACAAGUACAUCCACGCUCUCAAGAAGGUGCUCCAAUUCUUCAACCGCAGAAAUGUGAGUACUACUUCACUUCACAGAGCCAAAAAGCGAUGAUGAGUGAUGCGUCCGCUAGGCGAUCAAUUGCGUUUAUAGCAUCAUCAGCUGAUCGCUUAUGCCCCUUUGAAGGUUCUUGUGAUCCACUUGCAUUGCACUUCUUCUUUUUCUCUGCCUUAUUGCUAUUAGGCUUCUUAGGACAAUCAAUAGUGGAAUCAUUUAUUUCAUCAGAUUCUACUUGUACUACCUCAUUCAGAUCAAUAUGUGCUUCACCUUUCCCUUUGCUAGAUACAGCACCUAGUCCGGAUGCAGUAGAGCUCGCACAUAUGUCUUGCAGGUCUAUCCAACUAGGCCACACUUUAUCACGGAUGACGAAUCUGCAAAUUGAAUGCUGCUGAUGAAAACAAGUUCACGAAGAGAUCCCUUGUCUUCCCAGCAGCGGCCAACUGCCAGUAAUCGGUGUUCCCAGCCUAGCGCCGGCGGCCAGGGAAUCGAUGAUCACAACAGGUGUUAGCGGCUAGCCAUUGAACUAGGUUUCCAGAUCUGUUUUGCCGAGGUUUGUUCUACCACCGUCCAGUUUAUAUAGAAGCGAUGGAAACAAUGGCGCGUGGAAGUGGCUGCGGGAGGGAAGAAAUGGCGCCAAUAAGUUUGUUGAGGGAGGAGCGGAGAGAAAAAAGUUUAUUACCGAGAGUUUUCUGUAAUCUUGUUUUCUCAAAAACGAGUAUUAGUCGUUUUUGAUAAAACGCAGUUUUCUGGCUUUGUGGAAACCGAAUUUUAGAUAUCCAUGCUUUUGUUGAAGGCCCCAAACAUGGUUUUAGUUUGUUGGGCGGUUAUAUGAGCUCACGGAAAACUAGUUUGGCUAA